RNAcentral lists this transfer RNA (65 nucleotides) under Notolachesilla sp. GRA1sp1LA. RNAcentral's name for it is "tRNA-Met". Lineage: Eukaryota; Metazoa; Arthropoda; Insecta; Psocodea; Lachesillidae. The record is from RNAcentral.
UAAAAAGUAAGCUAAACUAAGCUUUUGGGUUCAUACCUCAACUAUAGAUAUAAAUCUCUUUUUAA